This 29-nucleotide non-coding RNA is filed under the name Rattus norvegicus (Norway rat). Lineage: Eukaryota; Metazoa; Chordata; Mammalia; Rodentia; Muridae. The record is from RNAcentral.
UGCACAGGGAGUUCCAAGGUCUGUCGGCU